This 473-nucleotide ribosomal RNA is filed under the name uncultured bacterium. RNAcentral's name for it is "partial 16S ribosomal RNA". It matches the Rfam family "Bacterial small subunit ribosomal RNA", at positions 28 to 507 of the family's 1533-position model. The record is from RNAcentral.
GGUGAACGCUGGCGGCGUGCCUAAGACAUGCAAGUCGAGCGGGCCGCGGGGUUUUACUCCGUGGUCAGCGGCGGACGGGUGAGUAACGCGUGGGUGACCUACCCGGAAGAGGGGGACAACCCGGGGAAACUCGGGCUAAUCCCCCAUGUGGACCCGCCCCUUGGGGUGUGUCCAAAGGGCUUUGCCCGCUUCCGGAUGGGCCCGCGUCCCAUCAGCUAGUUGGUGGGGUAAUGGCCCACCAAGGCGACGACGGGUAGCCGGCCUGAGAGGGUGGCCGGCCACAGGGGCACCGAGACACGGGCCACACUCCUACGGGAGGCAGCAGUUAGGAAUCUGCCGCAAUGGGCGCAAGCCUGACGGAGCGACGCCGCUUGGAGGAAGAAGCCCUACGGGGUGUAAACUCCUGAACCCGGGACGAAACCCCCGACGAGGGGACGGACGGUACCGGGGUAAUAGCGCCGGCCAACUCCGUG